CGCAUAAAUCAAUCUCUUUUUUUUUAUACAUCUAUACUUAGCAAAUAAUAGCAUACUGGUAUUUAAGAGCUCAUUACUACAUAUCUGUUAGGAGUAUAUAGUAGCUCAACUUAUUAAGAAGCGAAUGAAUGCUUGUACCCUAGACUUAUUUUUGUUACAUCGAUUUAAGCAUCUCUGAUUUCUCAAUUAAUUAAUUACAUAUAUAGAGGAUACUUAAUCUCUUAUCAUCUUAUAUUAAUAAAUAUGUACUU
RNAcentral lists this long non-coding RNA (251 nucleotides) under Elaeis guineensis (African oil palm). RNAcentral's name for it is "long non-coding RNA (EGUI_LNC048178)". Lineage: Eukaryota; Viridiplantae; Streptophyta; Magnoliopsida; Arecales; Arecaceae. The record is from RNAcentral.